Molecule: long non-coding RNA, 242 nt
Filed under: Elaeis guineensis (African oil palm)
Lineage: Eukaryota; Viridiplantae; Streptophyta; Magnoliopsida; Arecales; Arecaceae
Description: long non-coding RNA (EGUI_LNC013959)
Source: RNAcentral
GCUAGGGACGAGGUAGAUGAGUCCUCGGUCGGAGAUGGGGUAUCGAUGGAGAUGGUGCCUCUUGGGUGCUAGAACUGGACUUGCAAAAUGAGUCUCUGAUCGAAAGAUUUUCUGAUGGUAACAGUCCGAUAUUCAAAUCAGUUGGAAAUUAGAAAAUACAGAUAGAGAUUAGUACAGUGAAGCAUCUUGAGGCUGUCAAGGACUUACCUGAGAUCCUCUUUUCUCCCUUAUUUAUAGAGAGU